Molecule: transfer RNA, 87 nt
Filed under: Gammaproteobacteria bacterium RIFCSPHIGHO2_12_FULL_63_22
Lineage: Bacteria; Pseudomonadati; Pseudomonadota; Gammaproteobacteria
Also listed under: 2 other names
Description: tRNA-Leu
Rfam family: tRNA
About the family: Transfer RNA (tRNA) molecules are approximately 80 nucleotides in length.
Source: RNAcentral
GCCCGGGUGGCGAAACUGGUAUACGCAUGGGACUUAAAAUCCCCCGGCCGCAAGGCCAUGCGGGUUCGACCCCCGCCCCGGGCACCA